UACGUAGGGGGCAAGCGUUGUCCGGAAUCAUUGGGCGUAAAGAGCGUGUAGGCGGCCCGGUAAGUCCGCUGUGAAAGUCCAGGGCUCAACCCUGGGAUGCCGGUGGAUACUGUCGGGCUCGAGUCCGGAAGAGGAGUGUGGAAUUCCUGGUGUAGCGGUGAAAUGCGCAGAUAUCAGGAGGAACACCAACGGCGAAGGCAGCUCGCUGGGACGGUACUGACGCUGAGGCGCGAAAGCGUGGGGAGCGAACAGG
Molecule: ribosomal RNA, 253 nt
Filed under: uncultured bacterium
Lineage: Bacteria
Description: partial 16S ribosomal RNA
Rfam family: Bacterial small subunit ribosomal RNA
Source: RNAcentral